GACGAACGCUGGCGGCGUGCUUAACACAUGCAAGUCGAACGGAAAGGCCCCUUUGGGGGUACUCGAGUGGCGAACGGGUGAGUAACACGUGAGUAACCUGCCCUUGACUUCGGGAUAACUUCAGGAAACUGGGGCUAAUACCGGAUAGGAAUCCUUGCUGCAUGGUGGGGGUUGGAAAGCUUCGGCGGUUUUGGAUGGACUCGCGGCUUAUCAGCUUGUUGGUGGGGUAGUGGGUUACCAACGCUUUGACGGGUAGCCGGCCUGAGAGGGCGACCGGCCACAUUGGGACUGAGAUACGGCCGAGGCGCCGACGGGAGGCAGAAGUGGGGAAGAUUGCACAAUGGGCGGAGGCCGGAUGCAGCAAGGCCGCGUGCGGGAUGACGGCCUUCGGGUUGAAAACCGCUUUCAGCAGGGGCGAGGCGUGUGGUGACGGUACCUGCAGAAGAAGCACCGGCUAACUACGUG
Molecule: ribosomal RNA, 465 nt
Filed under: uncultured bacterium
Lineage: Bacteria
Description: partial 16S ribosomal RNA
Rfam family: Bacterial small subunit ribosomal RNA
Source: RNAcentral